This 480-nucleotide ribosomal RNA is filed under the name uncultured Fusibacter sp. Its description in RNAcentral is "bacterial SSU rRNA". It matches the Rfam family "Bacterial small subunit ribosomal RNA", at positions 903 to 1382 of the family's 1533-position model. The record is from RNAcentral. Lineage: Bacteria; Bacillati; Bacillota; Clostridia; Eubacteriales; Fusibacteraceae.
AAAUGAAUUGACGGGGCCCGGCACAAGCGGUGGAGCAUGUGGUUUAAUUCGAAGCAACGCGAAGAACCUUACCAGAUCUUGACAUCCAAUUGACCAUCUUUAAUCGAGAUUUUGCCUUCGGGUACAAUUGAGACAGGUGGUGCAUGGUUGUCGUCAGCUCGUGUCGUGAGAUGUUGGGUUAAGUCCCGCAACGAGCGCAACCUUGUGUUUAGUUGCAAACAGGUCAAGCUGUGCACUCUAGACAGACUGCCGUGGACAACACGGAGGAAGGUGGGGAUGACGUCAAAUCAUCAUGCCCCUUAUGAUCUGGGCUACACACGUGCUACAAUGGCCGGUACAACGGGCAGCGAAGGAGCGAUCCGGAGCGAAUCCUAAAAAGCCGGUCCCAGUUCGGAUUGCAGGCUGAAACUCGCCUACAUGAAGUUGGAGUUGCUAGUAAUCGCGAAUCAGAAUGUCGCGGUGAAUGCGUUCCCGGGUCUU